RNAcentral lists this ribosomal RNA (460 nucleotides) under uncultured bacterium. RNAcentral's name for it is "partial 16S ribosomal RNA". It matches the Rfam family "Bacterial small subunit ribosomal RNA", at positions 338 to 795 of the family's 1533-position model. The record is from RNAcentral.
CCUACGGGUGGCAGCAGUGAGGAAUAUUGGUCAAUGGACGAGAGUCUGAACCAGCCAAGUAGCGUGAAGGAUGACUGCCCUAUGGGUUGUAAACUUCUUUUAUAUGGGAAUAAAAUGUUCCACGUGUGGGAUUUUGUAUGUCCCAUAUGAAUAAGGAUCCGCUAACUCCGUGCCAGCAGCCGCGGUAAUACGGAGGAUCCGAGCGUUAUCCGGAUUUACUGGGGUUAAAGGGAGCGUAGGAGGAUUGUUAAGUCAGUUGUGAAAGUUUGCGGCUCAACCGUAAAAUUGCAUUUGAAACUGGCAGUCUUGAGUACAGUAGAGGUAGGCGGAAUUCGUGGUGUAGCGGUGAAAUGCUUAGAUAGCACGAAGAACACCGAUUGCGAAGGCAGUUCACUGGACUGCAACUGACACUGAGGCUCGAAAGUGUGGGUAUCAAACAGGAUUAGAUACCCCAGUAGUC